ACCACUGGGUCAGUGCAACCUCCACUUUCCUGAAAAGCCAGGGCAGUAGAGGGCAACCACGUGACAUGCCAGGGGACAUGACAAGUAGGGGGAGACAUUUUCCUUGAAGAGCAGUCACACUUGGCUCCGCCUGGUUUUGAAGCAGAGCCAGAAAUUUGCGCCUGGAAGCUCAGGACUGCGGACAGAGACACAGCGGCUCUCAUGUUAUUUCUUGAAUGGCCACAGGACGGCAGCAGAAGAUCAUGUUUGCACAGGAAUUGGCUGAGAGUAAUAAGUCUAUAGAUCCAUAGACGUGUACACUAUAAUCAGUAACGUACUUGAAGGACAUCAUAGAUAUAUUAUACACAUUUUAUUCUAGGGUAGUAUUUGAAAUAAACCGUAUAUGUGUAACUAGGAGUUUUUAACUAGGCACUGAUAUGUGAGUAUAUCCUAUAUAAUAAAAGGCUAAUAUGA
This is a long non-coding RNA of Myotis brandtii (Brandt's bat), 453 nucleotides long. RefSeq lists it as uncharacterized. Lineage: Eukaryota; Metazoa; Chordata; Mammalia; Chiroptera; Vespertilionidae. The record is from RefSeq and is a predicted model, not a curated record. The transcript is spliced from 2 exons.